AUUGAACGCUGGCGGCAUGCCUUACACAUGCAAGUCGAACGGCAGCACGGGAGCAAUCCUGGUGGCGAGUGGCGAACGGGUGAGUAAUAUAUCGGAACGUGCCCAGUCGUGGGGGAUAACGUAGCGAAAGCUACGCUAAUACCGCAUACUAUCUAUGGAUGAAAGCGGGGGAUCGCAAGACCUCGCGCGAUUGGAGCGGCCGAUAUCAGAUUAGGUAGUUGGUGAGGUAAAGGCUCACCAAGCCGACGAUCUGUAGCUGGUCUGAGAGGACGACCAGCCACACUGGGACUGAGACACGGUCCAGACUCCUACGGGAGGCAGCAGUGGGGAAUUUUGGACAAUGGACGCAAGUCUGAUCCAGCCAUUCCGCGUGCAGGAUGAAGGCCCUCGGGUUGUAAACUGCUUUGUACGGAACGAAAAGGUUUCUCUUAAUACGAGGAGCUCAUGACGGUACCGUAAGAAUAAGCACCGGCUAACUACGUG
Molecule: ribosomal RNA, 483 nt
Filed under: uncultured bacterium
Lineage: Bacteria
Description: bacterial SSU rRNA
Rfam family: Bacterial small subunit ribosomal RNA
Source: RNAcentral